Small nucleolar RNA from Cololabis saira (Pacific saury), 92 nucleotides. RefSeq annotates it as small nucleolar RNA SNORD72. NCBI's taxonomy places the organism in Eukaryota, Metazoa, Chordata, Actinopteri, Beloniformes, Belonidae. The transcript has a single exon. The record is from RefSeq and is a predicted model, not a curated record.
CGCUUACCAAUGAUGGUGAAAUAAAAAUGUCUGAACAUAUGAGGUUCCUGUGAUAUCAGUUACUUUCUCUGAAAGUAAGUGAUCGGUAAGCA